GAGAAGGUGGCUCAGUGGUAGAGUGCUUGCCUUGCAUGCAUGAGGCCCUGGGUUCGAUUCCUCAGCACCUCA
This 72-nucleotide transfer RNA is filed under the name Dipodomys ordii (Ord's kangaroo rat). It matches the Rfam family "tRNA". Rfam says of the family: Transfer RNA (tRNA) molecules are approximately 80 nucleotides in length. Their secondary structure includes four short double-helical elements and three loops (D, anti-codon, and T loops). Further hydrogen bonds mediate the characteristic L-shaped molecular structure. tRNAs have two regions of fundamental functional importance: the anti-codon, which is responsible for specific mRNA codon recognition, and the 3' end, to which the tRNAs corresponding amino acid is attached (by aminoacyl-tRNA synthetases). tRNAs cope with the degeneracy of the genetic code in two manners: having more than one tRNA (with a specific anti-codon) for a particular amino acid; and 'wobble' base-pairing, i.e. permitting non-standard base-pairing at the 3rd anti-codon position. Lineage: Eukaryota; Metazoa; Chordata; Mammalia; Rodentia; Heteromyidae. The record is from Rfam by way of RNAcentral.